This 406-nucleotide ribosomal RNA is filed under the name uncultured bacterium. RNAcentral describes it as "partial 16S ribosomal RNA". It matches the Rfam family "Bacterial small subunit ribosomal RNA", at positions 30 to 526 of the family's 1533-position model. The record is from RNAcentral.
AUUGAACGCUGGCGGCAGGCUUAACACAUGCAAGUCGAGCGAGCGGCGGACGGGUGAGUAAUGUCUGGGAACCUGCCUGAUGGAGGGGGAUAACUACUGGAACCGGUAGCUAAUACCGCAUACCAUCAGAUGUGCCCAGAUGGGAUUAGCUAGUCGGUGGGCUAAUGGCGCACCUAGGCGACGAUGCAUAGCUGGUCUGAGAGGAUGACCAGCCACACGGGGACUGAGACACGGUCCAGAAUCCUACGGGAGGCAGCAGUGGGGAAUAUGGCACAAUGGGCGAAAGCCUGAUGGAGCCAUGCCGCGUGUGUGAAGAAGGCCUUCGGGUUGUAAAGCACUUUCAGCGAGGAAGCGUUACUCGCAGAGGAAGCACCGGCUAACUCCGUGCCAGCAGCCGCGGUAAUUC